RNAcentral lists this long non-coding RNA (1517 nucleotides) under Parus major (Great Tit). RNAcentral describes it as "lncRNA (ENSPMJG00000003241.1)". Lineage: Eukaryota; Metazoa; Chordata; Aves; Passeriformes; Paridae. The record is from RNAcentral.
CUGUGGUCGCGGGCCGCCUGCGGGGGGCUCUGGGCCCGAGGAACGGGCGGGCGGGGGGCCCAGCCGGGGCCCCUCAGGCGGGGGUCGGGAGAGCCGGGCUAGUGGGUUUCACCCAGCCAGUGAGGCUCGCCCGGCCGGAGCACAGUGGUCUUUAAGCCCCCAUGAGCUCCGGAUAGCUUUUUGGAACAAGAGCUCUGGACUGCAGAAGAUGAAGGCAAAUGCACCUUAGCGAUGUUGGUGUGAGUAUGUGACUGCAGAUGAUUGGGAUGGGGGCAUAUGGGGGAUGGAGUUGGAGAAGAGCAGAAACAGAUGAUUAAUAGGAUUGACCAUAGACUGGUAAAUCCUUUGAGGUUGAUAUUCAAAGCAAUGCUCAGACACUGAUAUUGUGCUUGGUUGGGGUCACCAUGGGAAAGUUGAUGGUUCAACAGCUUCAGGUAUUCAUUGCUAGAUCAACAUGUCUGUUAGAUCACAGGAGCUAAAUGUGGAGGAAAAAAAAAGUGUCUGACUUUUCCAACCUUUAGGUUUUACUGCCUAAUGAUAUUUAUUUAAUGUUUCAGAUAAGCACUUCCACGGUGAUAAACUAGAAGUGAAAUUAAAAAACCCACCCACAUUACUUAUGAAAAUCAGAGUUAUAAUGCUUCAGACAUGGAGUCACAGAUGCUAGAACAAAUUUGGGUAAGGAUUUAACAAAAUACUAAGUUCAACUUUUGGAUUUGUACAAGUAGUUUAAAAAUGUGCUGCUGCAGAAAUACAAAACUUUGAUCUGGCAUUAAGUUUCUUUGAGAGUUCAGCUUUGUUUAAAACACUUAUUGGAUUAUUUUUGUGCUGUUUAUGUCAACAGUUGUCCCAGUGCAGCAUUUACAUUGUACAGGAUCAGGAAUCACCUGUCCUCUGACAGCCCCUGAAAGCUCAUGUAAAAAUAUAAAAACAGUAUAAGCUCUGUAAUUUAUAUUCUUACUAUUUCUAUCACAUCUAAAUGUGAUCUGUCUAGAUCCUUCUAUUGUUCAUAUUUCUGCUGCUGACUGAUCCAACAGCCAUAGUGUGGCUAUGCACUGUGGUAGUGCCUGUGGAAUCCUGGUCUUAGCUAUGGAUAAGAACUUUUGCAUCCUGGGUAUUUGAGUUUCACUUCCUUGUUCUGUAAAAUCUGUUACUUAGCUGUGGCCCAAGUAACUGAGUGACACUUGUGCCAUACAAUCACUGGAUGCAAAUAAUCCCUCAAAUCAUGCUCACCGAAAUGCUAAAUUGCAAUCAAAUUAAUAACAUGAGGUGGCAGAGUACAUGAGACAGAGCAACAAUUAAUGUAGUUAUUGAAAGCAAAAAGAUAAUGAAGGCUUAGUUUUGGGUUUGUUCUUUUUUACCAUCAACAGAGACAGUUGAAAGCUGAAAUAAUUUUAAAAAUAUAAAGUUACAUCUUUAUUGAUAACUUUGUGGAUCUUUUAUAAGAGAUUAACUGAAUUCAAAUUAAAAAACACAGGAGAAGUAAUAAAAAAAAUCUACUGGGUUUGCUUCUGAAUUCA